UACGGAGGGAGCUAGCGUUGUUCGGAAUUACUGGGCGUAAAGCGCACGUAGGCGGCUUUGUAAGUUAGAGGUGAAAGCCCGGGGCUCAACUCCGGAACUGCCUUUAAGACUGCAUCGCUAGAAUCCGGGAGAGGUGAGUGGAAUUCCGAGUGUAGAGGUGAAAUUCGUAGAUAUUCGGAAGAACACCCGUGGCGAAGGCGGCUCUCUGGGACGGUACUGACGCUGAGACGCGAAAGCGUGGGGAGCGAACAGG
RNAcentral lists this ribosomal RNA (253 nucleotides) under uncultured bacterium. RNAcentral describes it as "partial 16S ribosomal RNA". It matches the Rfam family "Bacterial small subunit ribosomal RNA", at positions 524 to 776 of the family's 1533-position model. The record is from RNAcentral.